This 253-nucleotide ribosomal RNA is filed under the name uncultured bacterium. Its description in RNAcentral is "partial 16S ribosomal RNA". It matches the Rfam family "Bacterial small subunit ribosomal RNA", at positions 524 to 776 of the family's 1533-position model. The record is from RNAcentral.
UACGUAGGGACCAAGCGUUGUCCGGAAUCAUUGGGCGUAAAGCGCGUGUAGGCGGUCCGGUAAGUCCGCUGUGAAAGUCGGGGGCUCAACCCUCGAAUGCCGGUGGAUACUGUCGGGCUAGAGUGCGGAAGAGGCGAGUGGAAUUCCUGGUGUAGCGGUGAAAUGCGCAGAUAUCAGGAGGAACACCAAUUGCGAAGGCAGCUCGCUGGGACGUUACUGACGCUGAGACGCGAAAGCGUGGGGAGCAAACAGG